Long non-coding RNA from Seriola aureovittata, 825 nucleotides. RefSeq lists it as uncharacterized. The transcript has 7 exons. The record is from RefSeq and is a predicted model, not a curated record. Lineage: Eukaryota; Metazoa; Chordata; Actinopteri; Carangiformes; Carangidae.
UUAGCCAGCUUCUCUCUGUGGGCUCACCGAUGAGGAAGUGGAGCGCUCACUGCGGAACCAAUCACAGUCAAGCCGGCCAGAUGGUGGCAGUAAUGGGCGCAAAAUGCCACAAAACACCAGAAGAAGAAGGCAACCCAAGGCGAAGAAGAAGGAACGGAAGGCAGCUGACAUCCCACGUUGUAGCCGCGGUGUGGAGCGUGGACAAGAUGUCGCUCUAGAUUGUCCUGGUUCGCUGGAAAACCUCACCUGGGUCCAAAGGAAAUGAUCACUUCGGAGGAAAUGACCUCCAACCUACUCAUCAUGGAGGAGCCCCAAUCCUCAAACAUACAGACCAUGUGGCAGAGGGAGCUGGUGUGUCGGCUGCUGACGUGGAACUGAUUCAUGUUGCAGAUGAUCCUUGCGUGAAGAUGGGAUUGUUGAUCCUUUAUAGAGCCGGGAGGAGAAACGUGGAGAGCCUCUGUUCUGUUGUCUUUUUUUUGUUCCAGCAUGUUUUGAAACGUUUAUCUCUGGAGAAGUGCAGGCUGUGUGACGCUCAGUCAAACUGCUGGUCAUCGCACACUGGCCCAAAGAAACAAGGUUGCUACGACUGACGCCCAGUCCGUGAAGAAUGGCCCGGGGAUGAUUCUGCAGCACAACCACUGUCUGCUUUUGAAGCAGGGCUGUCGGAAAGCUUUGUCAACUACUCCGCCCAUGCUCCAUAAUGGGAAGGUGCAUCUUGUACGAGAAAAUAACGCCCUCCCUGCCCUUGGAUGAGUUUUAUUAAAGAUGUUGUGGAUGUGAAUGUACCUCUCUCUUUUAUAAUAAACUUCUUAUAACUGUUCAGAA